RNAcentral lists this unclassified non-coding RNA (375 nucleotides) under soil metagenome. RNAcentral's name for it is "partial internal transcribed spacer 1". The stretch from base 1 to 121 matches the Rfam family "5.8S ribosomal RNA", at positions 35 to 154 of the family's 154-position model. The record is from RNAcentral.
GAUGAAGAAACGCAGCGAAAUGCGAUAAUUAAUGUGAAUUGCAGAAUUCCGUGAAUCAUCGAGUCUUUGAACGCACAUUGCGCCUCAUGGCAUUCCGUGAGGCAUGCCCAUCUCAGCGUUAGAAAAUAUUCUCUAAUUUUAGUUUUGUGCUAAAAUUUGGAUCAUGUCAAGGAAGCUAUUACUAUUAUUGUGAUCGCUCUUUGGAAAUUGAUAGGUCUUUGAGUUGCUACUCAUAGAACGUGAUGAAUCUUUCUUCGUUCUAUUGUAAUUCACUCUGGUAGUCCUAAAACUUGUAUGCCUGUGGCAUAUCUUGUAAUUUGACCUGAGAUUGGGUAGGGAUACCUGCUGAACUUAAGCAUAUCAAUAAGCGGAGGA